GUGCCAGCAGCCGCGGUAAUACAGAGGGUGCAAGCGUUAUUCGGAAUCACUGGGCGUAAAGGGCGCGUAGGCGGUCCCUUAAGUCAGGCGUGAAAGCCCGGGGCUAAACUCCGGAAGUGCGUCUGAAACUAGGGGGCUUGAGUACGGGAGAGGGAAGUGGAAUUCCUGGUGUAGAGGUGAAAUUCGUAGAUAUCAGGAGGAACAUCGGUGGCGAAGGCGACUUCCUGGACCGAUACUGACGCUGAGGCGCGAAAGCGUGGGGAGCAAACAGGAUUAGAGACCCUGGUAGUCCACGCUGUAAACGUUGAAUACUAGGUGUAGCGGGUAUUGACUCCUGCUGUGCCGAAGCUAACGCAUUAAGUAUUCCGCCUGGGGACUACGGUCGCAAGACUAAA
Molecule: ribosomal RNA, 395 nt
Filed under: uncultured bacterium
Lineage: Bacteria
Description: bacterial SSU rRNA
Rfam family: Bacterial small subunit ribosomal RNA
Source: RNAcentral